This 200-nucleotide unclassified non-coding RNA is filed under the name Membranomyces sp. RNAcentral's name for it is "partial internal transcribed spacer 2". Lineage: Eukaryota; Fungi; Basidiomycota; Agaricomycetes; Cantharellales; Hydnaceae. The record is from RNAcentral.
UUAAGUUCAGCGGGUAGUCCCGCCUGAUUCGAGGUCAAAAAAGAAUAUGCGUAAAAGCCAAAUUAGAAGCAACCCAAGAUGAGAAUUGGCCAUCCCGAAAGAUGUCCCCAGCGGUCAGAUUCAUUAUCACGCUGAGUAAAACCAACGCCACAACAUGAGGAUCAGCUAAUGAUUUAAGGCCAGCUGUUCCAAUGAAAGGA